RNAcentral lists this long non-coding RNA (604 nucleotides) under Marmota monax (woodchuck). Lineage: Eukaryota; Metazoa; Chordata; Mammalia; Rodentia; Sciuridae. The record is from RNAcentral.
GUAAUACUAGUAGACUAGCAUUUUAACUGGUCUUCCAAGAGACAAUGACAUUACCUAGUAUUCUGCUCUUAGGACUGGAAAAUUGAACUUUAAUACCAGAAAGAGUAGGUAGGCUCCUUCUUCCACAUGCCUCACCCACAGGUGUCUGCCUGCUCUUUUCUUCAGUAGGCAGGUCUCAUCUUAUCCUACAGAUUCAACAAAAUGAUUUCCUAUAGCUUUCAGCAAUCACAUGAAGAAACAUGUGAUUAAAACAGCCUGUUAUCUUCAUCUCUCAACAACCGACACAAUAUUGCAUUUACAAAAUUCUCCACUAGAACAAUUUGGUUUAAAAGUUUCUACAACAGUCACUGCCUCAAAUAUGUUUAUAGGAUGGCCUUUCUAGAAUUGUCCUUCACAGACACAAGUAUGAUUAAAACAAAGACCAUGUUGUCUAGUAGUAAAAGCCAAGGCAGGAUAUGAGAAUUCAGUCUCCAGGUAACCAAGGAAAGGCAACCCUAAGCAUGUAUCUGCAUGUAAAAUGCUGUAUGGAACACUCUGUACUCAAACUCUUUCAUGAAAUAGCAACUCUGAAGAGAAGCCAGUCUGCAAUGUUUUAUAAUUGUCU